AACCAAGAUGAUCCGGAGAAAAGCAGUUUUGGUCGAUAUGGUCAAAUGAGCUGGAGGAGAGCUAAGGAAGCCAAAUGAAGAUGUGCAAAGAUGAGAAAGAAGUUCAAAGGGAUGUUUUACACAUUUCCUCAGGUUUUGAAAGUGGUCAACUCAGAAGUCAAAGUCAACCAAAGUCAAAAGAGAGAGAAAGUGCCUUAUUGGUCCAUUUACCACUUCCGAGCAACCAAUAGGAGCAUGCCACGUGUAGGAGAAAAAAUUCCUUCAAACCUGGAAAAGGUGUGGAAUAAAUCAAGGGAUUUUUGAGUGAAGAAAUCAUGGGCAAAAGACAUCUAGAGAGCAAGAAAUCAUGAAUACACGUUUUAUACCCGAAAUGGGCUAUAAAUGGCAAAGAAGACAUGGGCUGGAGAAAUGGGUUUCUACCUCAACACCUCUACAUCUAAGGUUCAUUUAGGACCCAAAUGAAGUAAUGGAGCAGGCUGGAACAAUCACUUGAAGCCUGGAGUAAGUGGAGCAGUCCAUUAACCAAAAGUGUUAAAAAAGCCCUUCAUGAAGAAAAAUUAUUUGGAGUGGAAUCACGUCAGGCACGAAGGAGAGCAUGCAUUGGUCAAUUCAGCACCUCAUGGAGUCUACAGGAAUAAUGGGUAACAAACCUAAGGAGUAGGUUUACCAUGUGUUUUGCAAAUAGCUCAUUUAAGCCUUAAAAAUGGGUUAUGGGGCAAAGUAACUUACGGAUCAAUUUUGGAGCUGAGAUUUGAUACACUUGAACUUCAAGGUAAAUUAAGUGACCUUCCAGAAGCUCAGAAGAAAAAGAGUAGAUUAAGUGUAUUUACCCACAUGCAUGAAUUUCGGGUUUAAAUUGGUGACAAGUGGGUGAACAUGUGUCAAGUGCUCCCAUCCCUCCCUUUGGCUAUAAAUAGAACCCUUAGGAUGUGUUUUUGAAGUUUAGAAACCCCUGAGCUUUCUCUCUCAGUCGAUCUUAUGGUUUGUUCUAGAGAGAGAAAAUGGCUUAAAACCGAUAAAAUUUUUGAGUAUGUGAGGUGAGUGUGGAAGGCUUUUGCGUGGCUUUAUCCUUGCUCUAGGAUCGGUUGUGGAGUGCUAGGAGUGGUGGUAACCUUAGGGGAUUGGGCGUUUGCAGGGUGCGGAGGACGAGGCCAGGCGUAGAUUUCCGUUGUUGUUUGCAAGGCGCAAGAUGUUGAUGUUGUCACUCGUUUUGUUUUUCAUGGGUACCCGUUGACUCGUUUGUUUUUAUUUUCUGCUGCGUUUAUCUUUAAGGACUUUAGUCGAGUUCCCGACUUUGUAAAAUAAAUAAAAUUAUGUUUGAUUUAAUAAAAUCCCCGUAGAACGCUGA
Brassica napus (rape) is the source of this 1348-nucleotide long non-coding RNA. RefSeq lists it as uncharacterized. The record is from RefSeq and is a predicted model, not a curated record. Lineage: Eukaryota; Viridiplantae; Streptophyta; Magnoliopsida; Brassicales; Brassicaceae. The transcript has 2 exons.